Molecule: long non-coding RNA, 218 nt
Filed under: Daucus carota (carrot)
Lineage: Eukaryota; Viridiplantae; Streptophyta; Magnoliopsida; Apiales; Apiaceae
Description: long non-coding RNA (DCAR_LNC000174)
Source: RNAcentral
UGUUAAGCCUAUUUGUAUUGAAGAGUAUCAACUCAACUCUGAUAAGAAAGCAAGUAAAUAGCAAGUACUGUUAUCCAGAAUCCGUACGAAGAACGUCAAAUGAUUUAUUGAAGAUUUUAUGUCAGAAGAAUUUCAGGAUGCUGCUGCAAACCACUGGAAGAAGUUCAUUAAUAUGUUCAAGCCUCAGCGUACAAAUAAUCUUUUGUGGCACGUCCAGA